GACGAACGCUGGCGGCGUGCUUAACACAUGCAAGUCGAACGAAAAGAGGGAAAGAGCUUGCUCUUUCCGGAAUUGAGUGGCAAACGGGUGAGUAGCACGUAAACAACCUGCCUUCAGGAUGGGGACAACAGACGGAAACGACUGCUAAUACCGAAUAAGUUCCAAGGGCCGCAUGGCCCAUGGAAGAAAAGGUGGCCUCUACCUGUAAGCUAUCGCCUGAAGAGGGGUUUGCGUCUGAUUAGCUGGUUGGAGGGGUAACGGCCCACCAAGGCGACGAUCAGUAGCCGGUCUGAGAGGAUGAACGGCCACACUGGAAUUGAGACACGGUCCAGACUCCUACGGGAGGCAGCAGUGGGGAAUCUUCCGCAAUGGGCGAAAGCCUGACGGAGCAACGCCGCGUGAGUGAUGACGGCCUUCGGGUUGUAAAACUCUGUGAUCCGGGACGAAAAGGCAGAGUGCGAAGAACAAACUGCAUUGACGGUACCGGAAAAGCAAGCCACGGCUAACUACGUG
RNAcentral lists this ribosomal RNA (513 nucleotides) under uncultured bacterium. RNAcentral describes it as "partial 16S ribosomal RNA". It matches the Rfam family "Bacterial small subunit ribosomal RNA", at positions 28 to 507 of the family's 1533-position model. The record is from RNAcentral.